This 256-nucleotide small RNA is filed under the name Klebsiella oxytoca OK-1. Lineage: Bacteria; Pseudomonadati; Pseudomonadota; Gammaproteobacteria; Enterobacterales; Enterobacteriaceae. The record is from RNAcentral.
CAAGGGCGAGGAUGCUAACAGGAUGAUGACUCAGGAUGAGGGGUCAGGAAGCGCCAGGAGGCGAGGACUACGGAUUGUCAGGAUGACAAACGUCUGGAAGACGUUUUAAAGGGAAAUGGAAGUAACAGGGACCGUUGGUAGCUGAAGGAAAGACAGGGUGUGUCGUUAGCUAACAUGGAAAGUAGAAGCCCUUUAAGGGUUGUCAGUACGGAAAAAGGCGACAGAGUAAUCUGUCGCCUUUUUUCUUUGCUUGCUU